GAUGAACGCUAGCUACAGGCUUAACACAUGCAAGUCGAGGGGCAGCGGUAUCGAAAGCUUGCUUUCGGUAGCCGGCGACCGGCGCACGGGUGAGUAACGCGUAUCGAACCUGCCUCAUACUCGGGAAUAGCCUUGCGAAAGUAAGAUUAAUGCCCGGUGUUUUCAGAGUCCCGCAUGAGGCUUUGAACAAAGAUUUAUCGGUAUGAGAUGGCGAUGCGUCCCAUUAGCUUGUUGGCGGGGUAACGGCCCACCAAGGCAUCGAUGGGUAGGGGUUCUGAGAGGAAGGUCCCCCACAUUGGAACUGAGGCACGGUCCAAAAUCCUACGGAAGGCAGCGGUGAGGAAUAUUGGUCAAUGGGCGGAAGCCUGAACCAGCCAAGUAGCGUGCAGGAAGACGGCCCUCCGGGUUGUAAGCUGCUUUUAGUUGGGAAUAAAACGGGGCUCGUGAGCCCCCUUGCAUGUACCAACAGAAAAAGGACCGGCUAAUUCCGUG
RNAcentral lists this ribosomal RNA (492 nucleotides) under uncultured bacterium. Its description in RNAcentral is "partial 16S ribosomal RNA". It matches the Rfam family "Bacterial small subunit ribosomal RNA", at positions 28 to 507 of the family's 1533-position model. The record is from RNAcentral.